AGCAUUAUUCAAACUUUGGUUUUAGUCUCAAUCGCUAUGUUCUUCCUUCAUUAAAACUCUGAGGGGGUGAACUUUUUCGUAACUACCUCUAUAUCGCUAUAAUAAGCGAUAUAGUGGUUUGAAAUUUACGUGACGUCACAGUGAGCUGCGCCCUCCCUUCUCCUUACUUUUUCCUGUGUCAUUGAACACAACUCGAGACUUUCGAAACCUCCCACUCAGUAUCGGAUGAAUAACACAGUUUGAUGUUUUGCUUGUUCUGCUGACGGACACGUUAAAGACGUCUGCGCUCCCGUUUCUGUGCAUGUCCAGCAUGAGACAACUGGAAUUCAACCACAUUGAACACCGACUUCAGGGACAGACGAGCCUGAAGGACACAGCUGUGAUGACCAUGUUCUGUCUCUUAUGGCAAAGCAGAAAUAUAAAACACUGGGUUCUUAUCUAAAGUGUAUCAAAUCAGAUCUCCACCAUGUUGCUGCUGAGGACAUCAGGUGCUGCAGUUCUUCAUCUAUGAAGAGAAAAAACGCACUGUUAAAGAAUGUUUUGUGUUGUGUAUAAAGCACAACAGAUUUCUGAUAGAACUGUUGUACUGUGGUCUUGGUUUAUAUCCUCAUGGUGAAAUGUACAUAUUUUAAGUCCCUUCUGAUAAAAGUGCUGAAAGAAAUACAACAUUGUACAAAUACAUAAAAUGUCUUUCUACCUCAUCAGUACUAUUCAAGGUGAUAAUCUCCCACAGACCUAUUGAUAACAGUCCAAAUCAAGUCUUUCCACUUCUCUCAGUGUGAAAACAUAAUUCUAUAAUUAAUUUGAGAACUGUUUACAACACUGAUGUGUGGAGAUUAAAAUCAUACCUAAACUGUCUAAUUCACUGUAAAACUCCAUGACAUUCGCAGGCCAUCUGUAGUUAAGGGAGCAACGCAUGGAAUGAUGUGUAGAUUACUAGUUUGAUGAUGCAUGAGGAGAGGCGGUGGUCGAGUGGCAGAAACUUGGACUAUGGGCAGAGAAGGUCUCUGGUUCGUCUUUGGUUCGACUCCAUGGAGAGACAACAAAAGUCGAACCUGGAUUGAUCUGUCCAAAAAUCCAAGAGUCUCCCUACCCUCUCUAGUGCCCAU
Platichthys flesus (European flounder) is the source of this 1109-nucleotide long non-coding RNA. RefSeq lists it as uncharacterized. The transcript is spliced from 3 exons. Lineage: Eukaryota; Metazoa; Chordata; Actinopteri; Pleuronectiformes; Pleuronectidae. The record is from RefSeq and is a predicted model, not a curated record.